This 1346-nucleotide ribosomal RNA is filed under the name uncultured bacterium. RNAcentral's name for it is "bacterial SSU rRNA". It matches the Rfam family "Bacterial small subunit ribosomal RNA", at positions 28 to 1381 of the family's 1533-position model. The record is from RNAcentral.
GACGAACGCUGGCGGCGUGCUUAACACAUGCAAGUCGAACGGAAAGGCCCUGCUUUUGUGGGGUGCUCGAGUGGCGAACGGGUGAGUAACACGUGAGUAACCUGCCCUUGACUUUGGGAUAACUUCAGGAAACUGGGGCUAAUACCGGAUAGGAGCUCCUGCUGCAUGGUGGGGGUUGGAAAGUUUCGGCGGUUGGGGAUGGACUCGCGGCUUAUCAGCUUGUUGGUGGGGUAGUGGCUUACCAAGGCUUUGACGGGUAGCCGGCCUGAGAGGGUGACCGGCCACAUUGGGACUGAGAUACGGCCCAGACUCCUACGGGUGGCAGCAGUGGGGAAUAUUGCACAAUGGGCGGAAGCCUGAUGCAGCAACGCCGCGUGCGGGAUGACGGCCUUCGGGUUGUAAACCGCUUUCGCCUGUGACGAAGCGUGAGUGACGGUAAUGGGUAAAGAAGCACCGGCUAACUACGUGCCAGCAGCCGCGGUGAUACGUAGGGUGCGAGCGUUGUCCGGAUUUAUUGGGCGUAAAGGGCUCGUAGGUGGUUGAUCGCGUCGGAAGUGUAAUCUUGGGGCUUAACCCUGAGCGUGCUUUCGAUACGGGUUGACUUGAGGAAGGUAGGGGAGAAUGGAAUUCCUGGUGGAGCGGUGGAAUGCGCAGAUAUCAGGAGAAACACCAGUGGCGAAGGCGGUUCUCUGGGCCUUUCCUGACGCUGAGGAGCGAAAGCGUGGGGAGCGAACAGGCUUAGAUACCCUGGUAGUCCACGCUGUAAACGGUGGGUACUAGGUGUGGGGUCCAUUCCACGGGUUCCGUGCCGUAGCUAACGCUUUAAGUACCCCGCCUGGGGAGUACGGCCGCAAGGCUAAAACUCAAAGGAAUUGACGGGGCCCCGCACAAGCGGCGGAGCAUGCGGAUUAAUUCGAUGCAACGCGUAGAACCUUACCUGGGUUUGACAUGGAUCGGGAGCGCUCAGAGAUGGGUGUGCCUCUUUUGGGGUCGGUUCACAGGUGGUGCAUGGCUGUCGUCAGCUCGUGUCGUGAGAUGUUGGGUUAAGUCCCGCAACGAGCGCAACCCUUGUUCACUGUUGCCAGCACGUUAUGGUGGGGACUCAGUGGAGACCGCCGGGGUCAACUCGGAGGAAGGUGGGGAUGACGUCAAGUCAUCAUGCCCCUUAUGUCCAGGGCUUCACGCAUGCUACAAUGGCUGGUACAGAGAGUGGCGAGCCUGUGAGGGUGAGCGAAUCUCGGAAAGCCGGUCUCAGUUCGGAUUGGGGUCUGCAACUCGACCUCAUGAAGUCGGAGUCGCUAGUAAUCGCAGAUCAGCAACGCUGCGGUGAAUACGUUCCCGGGGCU